RNAcentral lists this ribosomal RNA (509 nucleotides) under uncultured organism. RNAcentral's name for it is "bacterial SSU rRNA". It matches the Rfam family "Bacterial small subunit ribosomal RNA", at positions 28 to 507 of the family's 1533-position model. The record is from RNAcentral.
GACGAACGCUGGCGGCGUGCCUAACACAUGCAAGUCGAACGGAGAUUUACGUCAACACAAAGCUCUUCACGUAAGAGUAAUGUGGAGGGUUUUGAGUUGAUGUAAAUCUUAGUGGCGAACGGGUGAGUAACGCGUGAGCAACCUACCAAGGAGAGGGGGAUAACACAGAGAAAUCUGUGCUAAUACCGCAUAAAGUCACGAUAUCGCAUGGUAUGGUGAUGAAAGGGCUUUUGCCUGCUUCUUGAUGGGCUCGCGUCUGAUUAGCUAGUUGGUAGGGUAACGGCCUACCAAGGCGAUGAUCAGUAGCCGGGCUGAGAGGUUGACCGGCCACAUUGGGACUGAGACACGGCCCAGACUCCUACGGGAGGCAGCAGUGGGGAAUAUUGCGCAAUGGGGGGAACCCUGACGCAGCGACGCCGCGUGAAGGAAGAAGGUCUUCGGAUUGUAAACUUUUGUCUUUGGUGACGAUAAUGACGGUAGCCAAGGAGGAAGCCACGGCUAACUACGUG